RNAcentral lists this long non-coding RNA (205 nucleotides) under Elaeis guineensis (African oil palm). Its description in RNAcentral is "long non-coding RNA (EGUI_LNC002608)". Lineage: Eukaryota; Viridiplantae; Streptophyta; Magnoliopsida; Arecales; Arecaceae. The record is from RNAcentral.
AUAACCACAGUACCGUAAAUCUGACUAAAAAUUGAUAUGUCAUGAGAGGACUAAGCAUAUUGAGGUACCACUAUAUUCAGAAUAUUGUAUCACAAAGGAUUAUUGCAUUAAAAAAGAUUCUUACAAUAGAUAAUCCAGCAGAUAUGAUGAUCAAGCCACUAAUCAUUCUCAAGUUCAAGCACCAUUUGGACUUGGUUCGUGUUUG